RNAcentral lists this ribosomal RNA (253 nucleotides) under uncultured bacterium. Its description in RNAcentral is "partial 16S ribosomal RNA". It matches the Rfam family "Bacterial small subunit ribosomal RNA", at positions 524 to 776 of the family's 1533-position model. The record is from RNAcentral.
UACGUAGGGUGCAAGCGUUAUCCGGAAUUAUUGGGCGUAAAGAGCUCGUAGGCGGUUUGUCGAGUCUGUUGUGAAAUCUCGAGGCUCAACCUCGGGUCUGCAGUGGGUACGGGCAGGCUGGAGUGCGGUAGGGGAGAGUGGAAUUCCUGGUGUAGCGGUGGAAUGCGCAGAUAUCAGGAGGAACACCGAUGGCGAAGGCAGUUCGCUGGGCCGUAACUGACGCUGAGGAGCGAAAGCGUGGGGAGCGAACAGG